UACAGAGGGGGCAAGCGUUAUUCGGAAUUAUUGGGCGUAAAGGGCGCGUAGGCGGUUCUUCAAGUCUCUCGUGAAAUCCCUCGGCUUAACUGAGGACGUGCGGGAGAUACUGAAGGGCUUGAGUCCGGAAGAGGGUGGUGGAAUUCCCAGUGUAGCGGUGAAAUGCGUAGAUAUUGGGAGGAACACCAGUGGCGAAGGCGGCUCACUGGCCCGGUACUGACGCUGAGGAGCGAAAGCCAGGGAAGCAAACGGG
RNAcentral lists this ribosomal RNA (253 nucleotides) under uncultured bacterium. RNAcentral describes it as "partial 16S ribosomal RNA". It matches the Rfam family "Bacterial small subunit ribosomal RNA", at positions 524 to 776 of the family's 1533-position model. The record is from RNAcentral.